Molecule: long non-coding RNA, 4485 nt
Organism: Equus caballus (horse)
Lineage: Eukaryota; Metazoa; Chordata; Mammalia; Perissodactyla; Equidae
Source: RefSeq, a predicted model, not a curated record
AUAGAAUAAAUUCUUAAAGAUGCUUUCCCUUGACCACUUAAACAAUGACUUGUUAUUUAUUCUCCUUGAACCCGUUGAAAAACAUUCUUUCAACAAAGCCCAAAUAAUCUUCCUAAAAAUUACACUUUGGGCAUUUCAUCUUCUCCUCAAAGAUGUUCAUGUCUUCUCACUUCUUCCAGAAGCAAUCUAUCAGCAUGACAUUCAAGUCUUCCCCACUACAGACCUAAACUACACAGAAAGAAGGAAUUUUUUAAAAACCUGAAAACACAGCUAUUAUUAGUUUAGCAUCUACUGUGAACCAGACUCAUUAACAACAUAUUCACAUAUGUUAUUAUAAAUCUUCACACAGACUUGCAAGGUGGCAUUAUUAUUAUUACUAUCUUCAUUUUACAGAGCAGCCCAAUAAUUCAUCUAAGGCCACAGAGCUGGUUAGAGGCAGAGUGAGAUCUUGAAUCACAGACCACUUGCCUUUAAAAGAUGUGCUCUUUGUGUUAGUCCACACUCUCUGCCUUAUCCCUCAAGCCGUUUAUUCUGCUCAAACUGAACACCUCACUAAUUUGAGAUAGGCUGUAUUUCCUCCCUUUGAAGCUAUACUCAUUCUAGUCUCUUCAUCUGGCAUGUCCCUUCUUCAGGUUCCACCAGUCAAAAUCUGACCCACCCUGUCUGUCUACAUUUCUUUAAUCUCUCCAACCAGCAAUAUUCUUACCUUCUUUGGUAUAUAGCCCAUGCUGCCUUAAACCAGGGUCAUAUGUACAAUAUUUACUUCCCUCCUUGAUGUUAAAUCUCUUCAUAUCUCCACCAACUCCAAAUAAAUUGCUAUUCCAUAAAUACGUGUUGAAUUAAAAUGAUCACCACUACACUUUCUACUUUGAAACUUUCAUUAGGACUAUAAUGUAAUUAAAAGUCAGAACUGGAUUUCAAUGCCUGCUUAGCCGUUUAUUAGCAGUACUAUCUUGGGAAAAUUCUUUGGCAUCAUUAAACAUUAGUUGCCUGAUUCAUAAAGUGAGGAUAUUAAUAGUGACUACCUCAUUGAGUUGUUGUGAGCUCACAAUAAGAUAAUGUAAACAAACUCCUUACACAGCAUCUGGUAGCUGGUACUUUGUCAAUCAAUAUUAGUGGUAAGUGAUAGUAAUGGUAGUAAUAUAAGAUGAUCUCUAAAGAUACAGUCUUAACCAAAUGUAGGAAAUAAUCAUCUGUGCCAUUAAAUUACCUGUCAUUUCAUAAAAAAUGGAGUAGAAAAAUAAACUGAAUAGAAGAGGUUAACUAAGGAGUCAAGAAUAGAAUAUGAAACAUAACUGCCAAUCAUCUCCUGUCAUCCUGAGCACAAACUGACUUCAGGAUGAAGGCUGUCGUGCAGACCCAUGGGAUCAAGCUUCCCUGAGGGAAUCCCUGGAUACCAAAAGCUCCACAAGGAGGAGAGGACGAUGAAUAAUGGAUGGAAAAACUAGGAACAACAAAAUUUCUGCAUUCCAGAGGGAGCCACGAGGGAGCACGAGGCUGAAGAGCUGAGAACAGCAAAGACAGCUCUGGAAAACAGGCCAGAGAUUGUUGUGCAGAGUACUGAAUGUCAUCUUAAGAGAUUGUUGGGGUCUUAACAGCACGGUGUUUCAUCAAUCUGCAUGACCACAUUGGUUACCUGAGAAGACACUGCAGCAAAGACAAUGCAAGUUCAAUGUUUGAGAAUGUCUGGGUAUUUAAAUAAACUAGAGGUUUAAUAGGUUCUCAGAGGAUGCUCUGUUUUAGAAAGCACAUUCCAGGAUCAACACAUAAAUCCUCAAUACUCAUAAAAUAGCCUGGGGAAAUACUGUGGGAGCUAUUCAUCAGAAUGAAAUUUUAGUUUCUGAGGUUGGGACAAAGAUAUUUCUUGAAGUGUCACAAUUCGUCCAGAAGAUUCCUCCAGACAGUGGGAACCACAAACACAAAAGCACUGAGGUGUUAAACACUGUGGUGAAUAGGAAGGACAUACAAGCUGCUCAGAAUAUCUGGUACAAGAAAGGCAGAGCACAAAGAGUGGAAAGGAGGAUGGAGCAGGCAAGAAAGAAGACCUAGAUAGGUAGGCUAGAGACAGAUUCUGAAGGACUUUGUAUAUUUUACUAAACAACAUGAAUUAUUUUUCAGUGGAGAUGAGAAACACUGAAAGACUUCAUACAGAGGGAGAUGCAAAGGGCUGCAGUUUAGAAAGAGCAAUUUGGCAACGAUGUGUAGGAUGGACAAAGUGGGUCCAAGAGAAAGGCAAUGAGAGUAGUUAACACGUUUUGUAAUAAAGCCUGGGAGGUAGGUACCAUAGAUCAGCCUGAGGCAGUUUCUGAGUGAAGAGCAGAGAAUACAUUUUAGAAGUAUUUAGGUGGUAGAAUAGAGAGGAUUUAAUCCAAUUAGCAAUUAAGAGCAAUGAUUACAGUGGGAACUGCCACCCUCACUGUUGUGAAAAAGAGUGCAUUCUAACCAAACUACACUGUCUUUCCAUUCUCCUUUUCUCUAAGAUACUGCUUGUCGAAUAAAACAAAUGGUAUGUGUGCCUUUUCCUAGGAGAUCAAGAUGACUUUUACAUAUACUCUGCACUCGGAAAGAUCUCGGCCACUCAGGAUGUGGAACUUUUCAAGAGGCGGGGAUAAAAGGAAGAGAAAGAAGAGAUGAUCAUUCCUGAGAUAGAAACAAGCCAGUGACGUGCAGCUAGGUGAACAGUCUAACAUAUUUACAAACAGCUCAGGAGCGAUUUUAAUUAGAAAAUAUAUUCCUGGACCGCCACACAGUAAUGAUUUAGUUCUCUUGCACCUUUCAGUAUGUCACUGUGGACUGAAGUGAGACUGAGAUGCAUUCAAAGACCAGAAAGGAAAAGUGUCCUUUACAAAAAAAGAGAGAGAACUAUCAAAGAAGACACUAAAGAUAGAAGUAUUUUUUUUAUCAGUUUUGAACGCAGUCACAGAAAUGGCCUUUUAUUAUAAAAGCCCUUUCACUCCAUAUGUGCUUAUAAUCUCAAUUGUUUGACCUGGUUACAGGCACCUUUUGCAGCAGUGGCCCCCAAUAGAAAAGCAGGACCUCUAUGAGCGAAGUCAUAGGUCACUUUAAACACACAGAGGCAGUGGUCAGAGGUUAUUCUGAGCAGAGCACAUUGCAUUGGGCAGAAAAAUCCAUGUCCGAUUGCUUCCAUCAAGGACAGACUCUCUUCCUUCUUAACAGGACAAUUGAACAUAUUAUCUCUUAGCAUCCUACACACUUUCCAAUCAGUAAUUAAGCAAAAAAAAAAUUAUUAAUUGCUAGGGCCUAUAUAAAAACAGAGACCCUCUAUUUGAAGGUGAAGAGUUUAUUUGAAAGUAGCUUUGAUUCCUUGACUUUUGAACUGAGAUUCUGUCCCACAACACCUCUCACACCCCAAGCCACCAGCCACAAGAAAAGUUUUUUCCUUCUUAGCAGUCUCUGGCUGCUGCAAACUUUCUCCACUUAUCUCAUCACAAGCCUCAAUUAAAGCAAGUGCUUUUUUUGGAGCAAAUUUCCUCCUCCCUUCCUUCUGUCCCAAGUUUGAUUCACCUGUCGAUUGACAUUCCUGCUUCAUUACUUGCUGACAGCUCAAAAUGCAAACCUAGUCCCUCAGCAAAUUACUUCUCAUCAUUUCCUUCCUUAACUUUAUCACUCAGUGGACUGUCAGGGGCAUUCAGCCGACUGUGGAAGAUCAGAAGUCUGUUGUGGCUCUGAGCUCCAUAAUUUUUGGCCUUGAAUCAGACAGAGUUAGAGUGGAUGUACUACUGGAUUCCUCCUUCAAGACGGGGAACUCAUUCCCCCGGCUGCUAGGAGUGCUGGCUGCUGACGGCUCGUGGUUCACUCCCUCUCUGGAACUGUCCUUAGUCAAUGGGGGUUGCCUCCUACAAUGUCUGGAUGGUUAGAAGAGGAUGCAGGAUACACAGACUCAGCUCCUCUUGCUCAGUUUGGGACAUCUCACAAGGAGCAGUCCAACUCCAGAGUUAGCUGUGGGAUUGGCUGAGGCUUUAUCUGCACCUGCAUCUCAGUCCAAAUUGCCCCUCUACCCAUGUCUGCCUCCCUCACUCCCAUUCAGGAAUUGUUUCACAGCACGCUUCCCAAUAAACCUCCCACACACAAUCUCCACCUGAACCUGUUUCCAGGAAACUUGACCUAAGGCAGUAGUGAAAAGUUCUGCCUCUUCUUGCUUUGUGACUUAUUUGCAUAUUGUUUUUCCUGAAGAGAUUACACUAUUAUACCUGCAUCACUGGCACAAGGUUUUAUUUGUUAGAUGGAUUGUUCAUUUUAAAAUGCCUAACAGGGUCUCCGGCCAUGGGCCUUUUUGCUUGCCUGACUCACUCUCAGAGGCCUGGUCAUUAUUCACCAGAUGACAGGUGCUCAUUAAGAGAUGGAAAACAUGGGACCAACUGUAAAGGGAUUUACAUUUUUAUUAAACUUCUUUGACUUUAGCUUGAUUUUUUUUAUAGAAUUGGUCUCAUUUUUCCAAAUUGUGCACCUGUGCUCAUGGUUGCC